This 501-nucleotide ribosomal RNA is filed under the name uncultured bacterium. RNAcentral's name for it is "bacterial SSU rRNA". It matches the Rfam family "Bacterial small subunit ribosomal RNA", at positions 84 to 579 of the family's 1533-position model. The record is from RNAcentral.
CCUGGCGGCGAGCGGCGAACGGGUGAGGAAUACAUCGGAACGUACCCCGGAGUGGGGGAUAACGCCGCGAAAGCGGCGCUAAUACCGCAUAUGCUCUGUGGAGGAAAGUGGGGGACCCGCAAGGGCCUCACGCUCUGGGCGCGGCCGAUGUCCGAUUAGCUAGUUGGUGAGGUAAUGGCUCACCAAGGCGACGAUCGGUAGCUGGUCUGAGAGGAUGAUCAGCCACACUGGGACUGAGACACGGCCCAGACUCCUACGGGAGGCAGCAGUGGGGAAUUUUGGACAAUGGGGGCAACCCUGAUCCAGCCAUGCCGCGUGCGGGAAGAAGGCCUUCGGGUUGUAAACCGCUUUUAGUCGGGAAGAAAAGGCGCCACCUAAUACGGGGCGUUCUUGACGGUACCGGCGGAAUAAGCACCGGCUAACUACGUGCCAGCAGCCGCGGUAAUACGUAGGGUGCGAGCGUUAAUCGGAAUUACUGGGCGUAAAGCGUGCGUAGGCGGU